This 253-nucleotide ribosomal RNA is filed under the name uncultured bacterium. RNAcentral describes it as "partial 16S ribosomal RNA". It matches the Rfam family "Bacterial small subunit ribosomal RNA", at positions 524 to 776 of the family's 1533-position model. The record is from RNAcentral.
UACGAAGGGGGCUAGCGGUGCUCGGAAUUACUGGGUGUAAAGCGCACGUAGGCGGACUUUUAGGUCGGGGGUGAAAUCCUGGAGCUCAACUCCAGAACUGCCUUCGAAACUGAAAGCCUUGAGUUCGGGAGAGGUGAGUGGAACUGCGAGUGUAGAGGUGAAAUUCGUAGAUAUUCGCAAGAACACCAGUGGCGAAGGCGGCUCACUGGCCCGAUACUGACGCUGAGGUGCGAAAGCGUGGGGAGCAAACAGG